This 524-nucleotide ribosomal RNA is filed under the name ascomycete sp. olrim144. RNAcentral's name for it is "eukaryotic LSU rRNA". The stretch from base 191 to 344 matches the Rfam family "5.8S ribosomal RNA". Lineage: Eukaryota; Fungi; Ascomycota. The record is from RNAcentral.
AAAUUCAUUGAUCAACACCCCCUCUGUGAACACGUUACCCUGUUGCUUCCCGUGGGUUUUCCAGGCGGCCGCCUGCCCCCUUGACCGGGGGAUGGCCACUGGUCGCCGGCCCGCGGGGAGGUCUCCAACCGAAACCCUUUUGUUUUUGUCAUGCCGUCUCUAGUCUGAAAUCAAACUAAGAAAACGUUAAAACUUUCAACAACGGAUCUCUUGGUUCUCGCAUCGAUGAAGAACGCAGCGAAAUGCGAUAAGUAGUGUGAAUUGCAGAAUUCAGUGAAUCAUCGAAUCUUUGAACGCACAUUGCGCCUCCUGGUAUUCCGGGAGGCAUGCCUGUUCGAGCGUCAUUAAAACCCACUCAGAUUCCCUUUAGGGGGCUUUCUGGUCUUGGGGGAGCAGCGGCAACGCGAGCCCCCCCGAAAUCCAUCGUGCGGAAAGGCCCGGUGGCCCAGGCGUAGUAUUAACAUCCUCUCGUCUGGUGUCUGCCGAGCGUUCCUGCCGUCAACCCCCCCACGACUUCAAUGACU